This 862-nucleotide ribosomal RNA is filed under the name uncultured bacterium. RNAcentral's name for it is "bacterial SSU rRNA". It matches the Rfam family "Bacterial small subunit ribosomal RNA", at positions 8 to 862 of the family's 1533-position model. The record is from RNAcentral.
AGAGUUUGAUCCUGGCUCAGGAUGAACGCUAGCGACAGGCUUAACACAUGCAAGUCGAGGGGCAGCGAGGGCGUAGCAAUACGCCUGUCGGCGACCGGCGCACUGGUGAGUAACACGUAUGCGACCUGCCCCCUACAGGGGUAUAACCCGUAGAAAUGCGGACUAAUCCCCCAUAGUCCUGGAGGCUGCAUGGCAUUCAGGGGAAAGGCCAGCCGGUAGGGGAUGGGCAUGCGGCGCAUUAGCUAGUUGGCGGGGCAACGGCCCACCAAGGCGACGAUGCGUAGGGGUUCUGAGAGGAAGGUCCCCCACACUGGUACUGAGACACGGACCAGACUCCUACGGGAGGCAGCAGUGAGGAAUAUUGGUCAAUGGGCGCAGGCCUGAACCAGCCAAGUCGCGUGAGGGAAGACGGUCCUACGGAUUGUAAACCUCUUUUGUCGGGGAGUAACGUGCGGGACGUGUCCCGUAUUGAGAGUACCCGAAGAAAAAGCAUCGGCUAACUCCGUGCCAGCAGCCGCGGUAAUACGGAGGAUGCGAGCGUUAUCCGGAUUUAUUGGGUUUAAAGGGUGCGCAGGCGGCGCGCCAAGUCAGCGGUCAAAGUUCCGGGCUCAACCCGGUGUCGCCGUUGAAACUGGCGUGCUCGAGUGCGUGCGAGGAAGGCGGAAUGCGUUGUGUAGCGGUGAAAUGCAUAGAUAUGACGCAGAACUCCGAUUGCGAAGGCAGCUUUCCAGCGCGCUACUGACGCUGAAGCACGAAAGCGUGGGGAUCGAACAGGAUUAGAUACCCUGGUAGUCCACGCAGUAAACGAUGACUACUAACUUUCCGGGAUGAUUGAGUCCUGGGAGGCACAGCGAAAGCGUUA